UGCAAGUCGAGCGGAAAGGCCCUUCGGGGUACUCGAGCGGCGAACGGGUGAGUAACACGUGAGCAACCUGCCCCUGACUCUGGGAUAAGCCCGGGAAACUGGGUCUAAUACCGGAUAUGACCGCCUCCGGCAUCGGAUGGUGGUGGAAAGUUUUUCGGUUGGGGAUGGGCUCGCGGCCUAUCAGCUUGUUGGUGGGGUAGUGGCCUACCAAGGCGACGACGGGUAGCCGGCCUGAGAGGGCGACCGGCCACACUGGGACUGAGACACGGCCCAGACUCCUACGGGAGGCAGCAGUGGGGAAUAUUGCGCAAUGGGCGGAAGCCUGACGCAGCGACGCCGCGUGGGGGAUGACGGCCUUCGGGUUGUAAACCUCUUUCAGCAGGGACGAAGUUGACGUGUACCUGCAGAAGAAGCGCCGGCUAACUACGUGCCAGCAGCCGCGGUAAUACGUAGGGCGCAAGCGUUGUCCGGAAUUAUUGGGCGUAAAGAGCUCGUAGGUGGCUGGUCGCGUCUGCCGUGAAAGCCCGCAGCUUAACUGCGGGUCUGCGGUGGAUACGGGCCGGCUAGAGGUAGGUAGGGGCAAGUGGAAUUCCUGGUGUAGCGGUGAAAUGCGCAGAUAUCAGGAGGAACACCGGUGGCGAAGGCGGCUUGCUGGGCCUUACCUGACGCUGAGGAGCGAAAGCGUGGGGAGCGAACAGGAUUAGAUACCCUGGUAGUCCACGCUGUAAACGUUGGGCGCUAAGGUGUGGGACCCUUCCACGGGUUCCGUGCCGGAGCUAACGCAUUAAGCGCCCGCCCUGGGGGAGUACGGCCGCAAGGCUAAACUCAAAGGAAUUUGACGGGGGCCCGCACAAGCGGCGGGAGCAUGUUUGCUUAAUUCGACGCAACGCGGAGAACUUU
This 900-nucleotide ribosomal RNA is filed under the name Nonomuraea sp. 3SH4_19. Its description in RNAcentral is "bacterial SSU rRNA". It matches the Rfam family "Bacterial small subunit ribosomal RNA", at positions 56 to 972 of the family's 1533-position model. The record is from RNAcentral. Lineage: Bacteria; Bacillati; Actinomycetota; Actinomycetes; Streptosporangiales; Streptosporangiaceae.